RNAcentral lists this ribosomal RNA (1278 nucleotides) under Chryseobacterium sp. RNAcentral describes it as "bacterial SSU rRNA". It matches the Rfam family "Bacterial small subunit ribosomal RNA", at positions 162 to 1451 of the family's 1533-position model. The record is from RNAcentral. Lineage: Bacteria; Pseudomonadati; Bacteroidota; Flavobacteriia; Flavobacteriales; Weeksellaceae.
AUUAAUACCCCAUAAUAUAUUGAAUGGCAUCAUUUGAUAUUGAAAACUCCGGUGGAUAGAGAUGGGCACGCGCAAGAUUAGAUAGUUGGUAGGGUAACGGCCUACCAAGUCAGUGAUCUUUAGGGGGCCUGAAAGGGUGAUCCCCCACACUGGUACUGAGACAGGGACCACACUACUACGGGAGGCAGCAGUGAGGAAUAUUGGACAAUGGGUGAGAGCCUGAUCCAGCCAUCCCGCGUGAAGGACGACGGCCCUAUGGGUUGUAAACUUCUUUUGUAUAGGGAUAAACCUUUCCACGUGUGGAAAGCUGAAGGUACUAUACGAAUAAGCACCGGCUAACUCCGUGCCAGCAGCCGCGGUAAUACGGAGGGUGCAAGCGUUAUCCGGAUUUAUUGGGUUUAAAGGGUCCGUAGGCGGAUCUGUAAGUCAGUGGUGAAAUCUCAUAGCUUAACUAUGAAACUGCCAUUGAUACUGCAGGUCUUGAGUAAAGUAGAAGUGGCUGGAAUAAGUAGUGUAGCGGUGAAAUGCAUAGAUAUUACUUAGAACACCAAUUGCGAAGGCAGGUCACUAUGUUUUAACUGACGCUGAUGGACGAAAGCGUGGGGAGCGAACAGGAUUAGAUACCCUGGUAGUCCACGCCGUAAACGAUGCUAACUCGUUUUUGGGUCUUCGGAUUCAGAGACUAAGCGAAAGUGAUAAGUUAGCCACCUGGGGAGUACGUUCGCAAGAAUGAAACUCAAAGGAAUUGACGGGGGCCCGCACAAGCGGUGGAUUAUGUGGUUUAAUUCGAUGAUACGCGAGGAACCUUACCAAGGCUUAAAUGGGAAUUGACAGGUUUAGAAAUAGACUUUUCUUCGGACAAUUUUCAAGGUGCUGCAUGGUUGUCGUCAGCUCGUGCCGUGAGGUGUUAGGUUAAGUCCUGCAACGAGCGCAACCCCUGUCACUAGUUGCCAUCAUUCAGUUGGGGACUCUAGUGAGACUGCCUACGCAAGUAGAGAGGAAGGUGGGGAUGACGUCAAAUCAUCACGGCCCUUACGCCUUGGGCCACACACGUAAUACAAUGGCCGGUACAGAGGGCAGCUACCUAGCGAUAGGAUGCGAAUCUCGAAAGCCGGUCUCAGUUCGGAUUGGAGUCUGCAACUCGACUCUAUGAAGCUGGAAUCGCUAGUAAUCGCAUAUCAGCCAUGAUGCGGUGAAUACGUUCCCGGGCCUUGUACACACCGCCCGUCAAGCCAUGGAAGUUUGGGGUACCUGAUAGUCGGUGACCGUAACAGGAGC